CCACGCAUCUAGAGCCCGUACUCCACAACAAGAGAAGCCACCGCAAUGAGAAGCCGGCGCACCUUAACGAAGAGUAGCCCCCGCUCUCUGCAACCAGAGACUUUCCAGCUGUUCUAUCUGGCCAGGUCUGAGAAGGUGCUGCUGAACCCUCCUUUUCAGCACUUCACCUUAAGUGUGCGGCCAUUUCCACCCCCUUCCUCCUUUGCCAAACUUCAGACGCUGGGAAAACUCACAGGUGUUCAGGGUUGCAAAGCAUGUGUGGCUUAUUCUCAACACAUUCCUGAAAGCAGCAGCAACUUCUGAAACCCACCUCUUCUCUGCACAUCAGCUCUCCAACAGGUUCACAAAUAUUAUCCCCAGAGCUCUGCUGUUCGGGUUGCGAUUCAUCUGCCACUCAUGAGGAUCCUUGACACUUCAGGUAUCCAAAGAAUAAAACCUGAAAUCAAAGACUAGAAGCAGAAAAUCUGGAGGUUCUGACUUACAUGGGCUCCUGCUUCAGAUUAAUAAGAAACCAGUCCAUCAUCUGCCGCCAGCUGGACCCAGUGGAUCUCAGUGCUGCCUGCCAUCAGAAAUCUGAACCAUGCACCGAUUGCUUGCUCUGUGCUCCACUUCCACGACCCAACCCUGCUUUCUGUUCAGGCUGGUGGAGAUGCUACUGAGCAGAGAAUUAUCCACAAUUCAAGAAGCUAAUGAGAAUGGGGGAAAGAGAAACAAACGGCACUGAGUCCAAAGCCAAGGUAAUUAGCUCCUGGGUGACUAAGAGUAAAUUAUCUUUUUUUUUGAUACUGAGCUCAAGGAGAUCCUUGGCUUUUUUUUUUAAGUACUGAGUCAUAUAUUCCUUUGGUGUCAGAACUAAGAAAAGAGAACCGAUGCUUGCUACACUGACCUCAAUGUCCUGCGCUCUGGUAGUGUCUCCUUAAUGCCAACUCAGAAAAGCCUCACACAUCACUUCACAAUGGUCUUUGCCUCUACUUAAAAGGACAAAUUUUAGGCUUCAAUUUCUUUUCAUGCUAUUUGCUUGAAAAGAAUUCUUUAAGUUGGUGGCUAAGUAAACAACAGUAUUCUCCUAGCAGUGAAUUGGCUGUCCCACAAUCCCAACUGUAGUAUAGCCUAACCCCAAAGUAAUUAAAGAAUCAAGUGAUUUGCAUUCUUUGUCUAUAAAACUACUCUUGAGUAGCAGAUGGCAAACACAAAUGAUUUGCUCUAGAGACAUAUGGAAACCUCUCUGUUUCGUAAAAGCCUCAAUGAAUAUUAAACGCCGAGUGAUGUCACUCACUGCAGAAAUAAAAUGUUGUGAUAAUCCCCAAAACAGGCCUAAUUAGGCCAUACAGCUACUUGAGUUUCAGAAAGUAAUAGGAGGGAAAUUACUAUGUGAUUGGGAUUUCAUUAACAGUUCUUCUUAAUCUGAAUAUUCAUCCUGGCCCCAAAGAAUUACCUAUUCAGCCUUAUUUCUUCAGCAUUCUAUUAGAUUGUACCAUAAUUUAUAAUUGUAAAUCUUAAAAAUGAGUAAUCAAAGAGAUCUGCUUGAUUUCAUGUUAACUCUUCAGUUCUGCCUGAACAGCAAGAGCAAAAAUUUCAAGAGAGAUAGGGUGUUUUAUCACAGGUUUGGGAGCAUUCACCGUGCUCCCUGAUAAACUCUGUUUUAUAAGCCCUUGCUGCUGUUAAAUUGGUGGUGGGAGUGAAAUCUGUGUUUAAGGUUAUUCAGGAAAUGAUUAUCCAUAUUAAGCAGGAAUUGGAGGCAGGAAUCUGAUUGAAUAUGGCUCAAAAUACAAAGGAGAAUUUCAUUUUUCUCUUCAUCCUGUAGAUUGGCAAUCCAAUAAGUUGUUGGCAACCCAGUAACUUGUUCUCGUCACAGAAAGGACUGAAACUUUGCACUCCUUGGAAAGAGAGAAGUACUGAUAACUGAGUCAUAGGGUGAACUGAAUGCUUUUUAGAAUAAGGAACUAGGUGUCUUGGGCUCCUUUCCAGCCCCACACUCUGCCUGGCCUCCAAGGCCUCCUAGGCCUGUUGAUGAAUCUCCUCAAUUCACUAGGGUGUUUAGUUGGCCUUGGAGACCGAAGUCUGUAAGACCAGAACCCCUAAGGCAGAUCUCAGGAUAUCUGUUAGGAGCUUGGGUUCAAGAGCCAAAGGAUUUUAUAGACAGAAAUGGAUUCUCUAGUCCAGCCUCUUUCAUUUUACAAAUGAGGAAACUGAGGCACAGAAGGGUUGUUGUCCUUCUUUUAGGUCACAGAGCUAGUUAGGGGCAGAGCUAGGAACGGAACCCAGGUCACCUGAUGCUUUGUCCAAUCUUCCUUCCAUUUAAAAAGUCCCAGGACAGGCUUGUCAGGGCCUGAUAGAGAAUUUAGAAAGUUCAAGGCUAUCAAAGUGUUUAACCUUACCUGGUUGCUGAAGUGGGGUAGAAAAGGGACCAGGUGUCUAAGUGCCUGUGUUAAUUCUAGCUUUGGACCACCCAUCGCCUCCUCAAGGAAACAGUAUUUCUCUCUUGCCUCUUCUUUCCAGUUCAACAUCAAUCCGUCUGUUUAAGAGAAAGACAAGUCAGAAUUUUCCUGGAUUCAGCCCCAUGACCUCUCCAGAAAUUUCAACAUAACUGAACACGAUAUGAAUAUCUAUAUGCAUUUGACACUGAAACAGGUUAUAGUUUUCAUUGGUUGCUUCUACAGCAUUGUUGCCUCCUGUCUUCUCUAUUUCUAACAGGAUCCUGUGAUUUAGGGUGAGUUUGACCCCGUAUUCAGCUCGAAUGACUUAAGCCAGUUGGCUUACGCCAUUCUCUUGGACCCUAGGAUUGGUUCACGGAAGGGCAGUCAGGGCCCAUGGAACUGAAUUCUAGGGUAUUUAUUUGAACUCCUGAGAAAGAGGAUUCUUUACAUUCUGCUCUCUUUGAAUCUAGGUGUCCCAGGAGUUUCAGCAAGACAUUUUGCAACCACAUGAGGCCAGGCUGUUGAAAUCAGUGUUACUUUGAGGAAGCAUUGCUAAGAAACCAAGAGAGAGAAACCAGGUCCUGGGCAUGUCAUUUGAGCUGCUGGAUCACUCACCUGUCGCUAGUUCUAGAUCUGAUUAUUUUAGUAUAUGAUUAAGUAAAUAUUUUUAUUAUUUAGCAUUUAGUAUUCUAUUAUUUACUGCCACACGUAUCUCAAUACCUCUUAUGAUGCUGAUUGUGAGUUUCAUAACAUCUUGACUUUGCCAUUGGAUCAAAGUCCAUUUUAAAGUUGGUUCCAAAAGGCUUUCUUUAAUCACUCAUUCUAACAAGAAACUCUACCCAAAGCACAUAGUACUUACUGUGUAUGUGCCUUAUUUGACACAAAAUGCUACAUAGCGAUGCCCAGGCUAAUGAAAGGAACGAAUUUCACUAACAUAUUUUAUUGUCAAAAACUUUAUUAUUAGAGAAGGAAAUAAUACAAGUGUAUUAGAAUAGAUUCCUUCCAAUCCACCCUAUAGUAGAGUAAAUUUCAUGUAGCCAUUUUUUGGUAUUAUCAUGUCAUUUUUAUUUAAUUUUUACAUUCAGUGGAGAUAUGCAAAAUAUUUAACAGUUUGGCAUAAGCACUUGACCAAUCAGAUUGGAUGUCUGACCAAUCCGAAUUAAAAGCCAACCAAUCAGAACAGACACCUGACCCAUCAGAAUAGAUGAAGUGUGUGUCUGCCAGGUAUCUGCCUCCCAUUUAUCAUUGAACUUUUCGCUUGUGGGAUCUCCCCUCAAUUACCUGGGAAACAAACUGAGGGCAGGGACCACAUGACAGAUACCUUUGCAUGCUCCAGGUAGGCCUUGCUGAGCUGGUUUCACAGUGUGAGUUUGUUUGAGUAGACAUUAUUCAACCAAUGAUUGCUCAGGAAACAUCAGUGGGUGGAAAGAGUGCAGUGUGUCCCUCUCUGAUGAAGAUAAUUGUAGAAUUAUCCCACUGGAUUAUCACUAAACAAAUAGCAUGGUUUGGGAUGACAGACAGUUGAUAAGAGAAAUUGGUAUUUUUGAGGAGUUAUCAUUCAAUAUGGUCUUGACAAGCUAGAGAAAUAAUGUAUAAUCACACUGAUUUUUUAAAUACAACAAUAAAUAGUAUACUUACAAAAUGAAUAACAUAUAAAUAGAAGGUAAAGUACAACCAGAAAAGUAUUGGUGAGGCUAAAAAUACCUAGGUCUUAUAGCAAAUAAUAAACUGAAGGUGUCCCAGAAGUUUUAUAAGUA
Molecule: long non-coding RNA, 4174 nt
Organism: Aethalodelphis obliquidens (Pacific white-sided dolphin)
Lineage: Eukaryota; Metazoa; Chordata; Mammalia; Artiodactyla; Delphinidae
Exons: 6
Source: RefSeq, a predicted model, not a curated record